AUGAAUUAAAUUGUAAUUUGACCACCACUCUCUCCAAAUUUAACAGUUAUAUAUAUUUUCAAAGUGCGAUCUCUCUAAAUCUGGUUAAAAAGCUAGUCUUUCCUCAACCUUACAAACUUACAGAAUUUUUUUAGCUUUUAGGCAGGAAAAUAGAAUUUCUUGUAAUAUCUAAAUCCAGCAGAAACAUUAAAAUGCAGUUAUCUCAAAUCUGGUUUAAAUUCUGCAAUUCCCUUAAAUGGCAUAAAUGCAUGGGCAACAUAUACAUAUACACACACAUAACUUUGUUCCAGGCUAUUCAGAACAAAGUGUGUUGCUUACCCAAAAACAUAAAGCAAGCCAUG
RNAcentral lists this unclassified non-coding RNA (341 nucleotides) under Hevea brasiliensis (rubber tree). The record is from RNAcentral. Lineage: Eukaryota; Viridiplantae; Streptophyta; Magnoliopsida; Malpighiales; Euphorbiaceae.